Molecule: ribosomal RNA, 403 nt
Filed under: uncultured bacterium
Lineage: Bacteria
Description: partial 16S ribosomal RNA
Rfam family: Bacterial small subunit ribosomal RNA
Source: RNAcentral
GACGAACGCUGGCGGCGUGCCUAAUACAUGCAAGUCGAACGCAGUGGGGACGGGUGAGUAACACGUGGGUAACCUCCCAUCAGAGGGGAUAACAUUUGGAAACAGGUGCUAAACCGCUAGCGAUGGAUGGUCCCGCGGUGCAUUAGCUAGGUGGUGAGGUAACGGCCCACCAAGUCCACGAUGCAUAGCCGACCUGAGAGGGUGAUCAGCCACACUGGGACUGAGACACGGCCCAGACUCCUACGGGAGGCAGCAGUAGGGAAUCUUCGGCAAUGGACGAAAGUCUGACCGAGCAACGCCGCGUGUGUGAAGAAGGUUUUCGGAUCGUAAAGCUCUGUUGUUAGAGAAGCGGUAUCUAACCAAAAAGCCACGGCUAACUACGUGCCAGCAGCCGCGGUAAUUC